Molecule: small nucleolar RNA, 104 nt
Organism: Cynocephalus volans (Philippine flying lemur)
Lineage: Eukaryota; Metazoa; Chordata; Mammalia; Dermoptera; Cynocephalidae
Product: small nucleolar RNA U13
Exons: 1
Source: RefSeq, a predicted model, not a curated record
GUCCUCUUUUGGUUCAUAAGCAUGAUGAUUGGGUUUUUGCGCUAUUGUGUGAGAUGUGCCUCCCUCAAACCUUGUUACAGUGUCAGCACAUUACCCAUGUGACG